GUAGUUAGCCGGAGCUUACUUUUCAGGUACUGUCUUUUUCUUCCCUGUCUACAAUAGUUUACAAUCCUAGAACCUUCUUCCCUCACGCGGCGUUGCUGGGUCAGGCUUGCGCCCAUUGCCCAAUAUUCCCCACUGCUGCCUCCCGUAGGAGUCUGGACCGUGUCUCAGUUCCAGUGUGGCCGAUCAGCCUCUCAGCUCGGCUACCCAUCGCAGGCUUGGUGGGCUGUUAUCUCACCAACUACCUAAUGGGACGCGAACCCCUCCUUCAGCGGAUUGCUCCUUUGACCUCAUCCCGAUGCCGGGUCGUGGUCUUAUGCGGUAUUAGCACUUGUUUCCAGGUGUUAUCCCCCUCUGAAGGUCAGGUUGUUCACGCGUUACUCACCAGUUCGCCACUAAAAUUUAUCUUCCAUCCGAAAACUUCUGAUAAAUCUCCGUUCGACUUGCAUGUGUUAGGCACGCCGCCAGCGUUCGUCCUGAGCCAUAAUCAAACUCUGA
RNAcentral lists this ribosomal RNA (495 nucleotides) under uncultured bacterium. RNAcentral's name for it is "partial 16S ribosomal RNA". The record is from RNAcentral.